This 204-nucleotide ribosomal RNA is filed under the name uncultured bacterium. Its description in RNAcentral is "partial 16S ribosomal RNA". It matches the Rfam family "Bacterial small subunit ribosomal RNA", at positions 568 to 774 of the family's 1533-position model. The record is from RNAcentral.
AGCGCAGGUGGUUGUAUAAGUCUGAAGUAAAAGGCAGUGGCUCAACCAUUGUGUGCUUUGGAAACUGUACAACUUGAGUGCAGAAGGGGAGAGUGGAAUUCCAUGUGUAGCGGUGAAAUGCGUAGAUAUAUGGAGGAACACCGGUGGCGAAAGCGGCUCUCUGGUCUGUAACUGACACUGAGGCUCGAAAGCUGGGAGCAAACA